AGAAGAUCAAAGAACUGGCAAAAAAACACAGGAACUAGAGGAUAAUGCUCCUCAACCAGAGAACGUUCUAAGGAUCAUUGCAAUACAGAAUGAGAUCUUGAACCUGCAGAAAGGAGUUAGCAAUGGGAUAAACUUUGACCAGAUUGCUGCACUUGAGAAUGAACUGGAUGCAUUGAUUGCCACAAUCGAGGAGAAGAACAAUGGCAACUGUAAACAGAUUCUGCAGAUCAUUGCACUCCAAAAUCAAGUGACAAGAUUGCAGAGGCAAGAGUUAGAGUUAAAUCAGUCAUCUGAGGCCAAGAUUGCUGAGCUAAAGAAUCAGCUACAGGAGACGAGAGACCAGCUGAAUGAAAAAGAAAACGAGCUGAAAGAAACUGACAGUAGAAUUCCACAACUCAUUGCAGAGAUCAUGG
This is a long non-coding RNA of Oncorhynchus gorbuscha (pink salmon), 413 nucleotides long. RefSeq lists it as uncharacterized. The transcript is spliced from 6 exons. Lineage: Eukaryota; Metazoa; Chordata; Actinopteri; Salmoniformes; Salmonidae. The record is from RefSeq and is a predicted model, not a curated record.